UACGUAGGGUGCGAGCGUUGUCCGGAAUUACUGGGCGUAAAGGGUGCGUAGGUGGUUUCUUAAGUCAGAGGUGAAAGGCUACGGCUCAACCGUAGUAAGCCUUUGAAACUGGGAAACUUGAGUGCAGGAGAGGAGAGUGGAAUUCCUAGUGUAGCGGUGAAAUGCGUAGAGAUUAGGAAGAACACCAGUGGCGAAGGCGCUUCUCUGGACUGUAACUGACGCUGAGGCUCGAAAGCGUGGGGAGCAAACAGGAUUAGAUACCCGUGUAGUCCCUGA
This 276-nucleotide ribosomal RNA is filed under the name uncultured prokaryote. RNAcentral's name for it is "partial 16S ribosomal RNA". It matches the Rfam family "Bacterial small subunit ribosomal RNA", at positions 524 to 800 of the family's 1533-position model. The record is from RNAcentral.